ACUCGAGUGGCGAACGGGUGAGUAACACGUGGGUGAUCUGCCCUGCACUUCGGGAUAAGCUUGGGAAACUGGGUCUAAUACCGGAUAGGAGCCAUCUUUAGUGUGGUGGUUGGAAAGUUUUUCGGUGUAGGAUGAGCCCGCGGCCUAUCAGCUUGUUGGUGGGGUAAUGGCCUACCAAGGCGGCGACGGGUAGCCGGACUGAGAGGCUGGUCGGCCACAUUGGGACUGAUAUACGGCCCAG
This 241-nucleotide ribosomal RNA is filed under the name uncultured Actinomycetales bacterium. RNAcentral describes it as "partial 16S ribosomal RNA". It matches the Rfam family "Bacterial small subunit ribosomal RNA", at positions 89 to 334 of the family's 1533-position model. Lineage: Bacteria; Bacillati; Actinomycetota; Actinomycetes; Actinomycetales. The record is from RNAcentral.